RNAcentral lists this long non-coding RNA (931 nucleotides) under Ursus thibetanus thibetanus. RNAcentral's name for it is "lncRNA (ENSUTTG00000023107.1)". The record is from RNAcentral. Lineage: Eukaryota; Metazoa; Chordata; Mammalia; Carnivora; Ursidae.
AUGAGAAAGAUUUAUCCUGGUUGUAGUCAUGGACCCCACCACACGAUGUCAGAGGUCACAUCUGAGGAAGCUGUAGACCCAAGAUCUGGCGCCAAGAGAGAGGCAGGGCUCAGGGCUCAGUUUUUCCGUUGUCUCUCCUACAGCCUCCCACCCCCAGUAGAAGAUUUUGCAUGCGGACUCCAUCCAGUCGGAGACAAACAGAGGUCAUCUGGGGGACUUCGCGGAGGGCGCUCGCAGCCUCCCCCCUGCCCGGGCGGCGCCCGGCCCGCAUGCUACGAAGCGCUUUCGGCUCGGGCAGCCGCGCGUCUCUCCAGGAACCAACGUGGAGGGGCCCUCGCCAGGUGGUCGGUCUCUGGUCUCAAGUCCCUUUUAACCGCCCUUCCCUGCCCGCCUAGAUCGCGGAGGCCCCACAUUCCUGGCAAGACCUCUCCAGGGCUUCCGGAGGCGGGUCCCAGACUGAGAGAGCGGUUCCAUACUGGGGGGGAGGAUGGGGGGAUGUCCCCGCGAACUGCUGGACGGAGGAAGAUAACACGCCAGCGGCGCGAAGUCCGAGACGGGGGUCUGAUGGCGCCGCGGCCUUGCUCCGGGAGCCGCGACUGGCCUGUUCUCUAUUCCACAUCGCUCGUGCUGCCCUCCUUGCCUUCAUCCUGCGUCUCCCACUAGCUGGACCGAUCCAUCUGCCGACACGUUGGCCCAGUUCCAGGCGGCUCCGGGUCCGGGCGCUCUCACGAGCUGCCCCCCCCCAAACCCUCCAACCCCGGAAGCCCCAGACCCCAGGCAUCCUGAAGCCAGCGGCUCGGUUCGGGGGUUAAGGCCCAACGCCCCGCGGGUUUCCCUGAAAUAGCAAACUUCUGCCGGAAGGGGGCGCCCUUGCCUUUUUAAUAGUCCACAAACGCACAUUGGUAGCGAAAUAAAUCUCUAAAAUUCCAAA